Molecule: ribosomal RNA, 460 nt
Filed under: uncultured bacterium
Lineage: Bacteria
Description: partial 16S ribosomal RNA
Rfam family: Bacterial small subunit ribosomal RNA
Source: RNAcentral
CCUACGGGUGGCAGCAGUGAGGAAUAUUGGUCAAUGGUCGCGAGACUGAACCAGCCAAGUAGCGUGCAGGAUGACUGCCCUAUGGGUUGUAAACUUCUUUUAUACGGGAAUAAAAUGCUCCACGUGUGGUAUUUUGUAUGUACCAUAUGAAUAAGGACCGGCUAACUCCGUGCCAGCAGCCGCGGUAAUACGGAGGAUCCGGGCGUUAUCCGGAUUUAUUGGGUUUAAAGGGAGCGUAGGCGGAAUGUUAAGUCAGCUGUGAAAUUUUGUGGCUCAACCAUGACAUUGCAGUGGCAACUGGCAGUCUUGAGUGCACUAGAGGUAGGCGGAAUUCGUGGUGUAGCGGUGAAAUGCUUAGAUAUCACGAAGAACUCCGAUUGCGAAGGCAGUUUACUGGAGUGCAACUGACGCUGAGGCUCGAAAGUGUGGGUAUCGAACAGGAUUAGAUACCCUUGUAGUC